UACGAAGGGGGCUAGCGUUGUUCGGGUUUACUGGGCGUAAAGCGCACGUAGGCGGAUCGUUAAGUCGGGGGUGAAAUCCUGGAGCUCAACUCCAGAACUGCCUUCGAUACUGGCGAUCUUGAGUCCGGAAGAGGUGAGUGGAACUCCUAGUGUAGAGGUGGAAUUCGUAGAUAUUAGGAAGAACACCAGUGGCGAAGGCGGCUCACUGGUCCGGUACUGACGCUGAGGUGCGAGAGCGUGAGGAGCAAACAGG
RNAcentral lists this ribosomal RNA (253 nucleotides) under uncultured bacterium. RNAcentral's name for it is "partial 16S ribosomal RNA". It matches the Rfam family "Bacterial small subunit ribosomal RNA", at positions 524 to 776 of the family's 1533-position model. The record is from RNAcentral.